Molecule: non-coding RNA, 618 nt
Organism: Malus domestica (apple)
Lineage: Eukaryota; Viridiplantae; Streptophyta; Magnoliopsida; Rosales; Rosaceae
Source: RefSeq, a predicted model, not a curated record
AUAGCAUUUGUCAAGGUCCAACAAAAAUACUUGCAGAGCUCUCUCGCUGCUCUGUAGUUGUAUAAAGCAAUUUUGGGGUUCGGAUUCGACCCGUUUUCGAAAACCGAAAUUAUUGUCAGUGGGUCUCUACUCUCUCUCUCUCUCCAUCUCACCUGAAACCUAAAACGUAGAUUUGGACACAGAAAAGGAGAAGGCGAAGAAGAUGGUGAAGGUCGCGACCUACUUCGCUAUGACUUUGGGAGCUUUCGUGUUCUGGCAGUCCAUGGAUAAAGUCCACGUCUGGAUCGCCCUGCAUCAGGACGAAAAGGGGUCUCGUUAAUGUGGCAGCAAGAAAGACUUGAAAGGGAAAUGGAGAUUAAGAGGGUUAGAGAAGAGCUGCUGCAGCAGCAAGCCAAACAAAGGGAGACUCAAGCAUGAGCGACUCAGAUUUAUCUUCUUGCACCUUCAUAUUCCGUUGUUUCCUCUACUUCUGAUUUUAUCUGAGCAUUGCUCUGUUGAACACAAUCACAAUUCUGGAAUAAUUUAACUUGGCAUUCACAGAAUAGCUAAGUUCUGUCUUAUCGAUGACUUUACAUAAGCUUUUGAAAAUCAUGUUGUGUUUUUCGUUGUUUACUUACA